Molecule: long non-coding RNA, 570 nt
Organism: Cornus florida
Lineage: Eukaryota; Viridiplantae; Streptophyta; Magnoliopsida; Cornales; Cornaceae
Exons: 3
Source: RefSeq, a predicted model, not a curated record
GUAGAGAAAAAGUGAAGUGCUGGGUAAAGUCCAAAAGCAAAACUGUGCGGGCUAAGUUUCAAAGCGGACAAUAUCAUACCAUUGUGUCAUCUCCAAUUGAAGACGAAAUUGACUGAAACUCAUCUCACCGUGGCGGUCUGCUAUUGGGGUUACGCAAAUCCAGGGUUUAGGAAUGCCGCCUCAAUCAUCAGUACCUAUAUACAUGCUACUACCUGGAUCCCGCCUUUACGCUAGCUUGCCGGCCAGCUUGUCCAAAGCUGAGGAUUCUGUGGAUGCCGCAUGCGGUUGCGAAUCAAAAGGCUGCAUGAGGAGGUAUUGCUGUUAGAGACUCUAGUGGAAGCAUUUUGGUGGCAGCAACUAGGUACUUGGAGCAUAUAACAGAAGUUCUGUUUGCUUUAGGUACUUUGAUUCUUUUUUUUUUUUUUUUGAAUCAAAGGCAUGUUAUCCCAACGUAGUACAAAAUGUAAUUUACUAGGUUUCCUAUGUAAUUUCAUCCAUAAUUUUACAUGUUUCUGCGUUAUCCUUAAAUAAAUACUGCACCAAUUUGAUAAUUCUACACACCUCAUCUUC